This 1000-nucleotide ribosomal RNA is filed under the name Pseudoalteromonas sp. ZB212. RNAcentral's name for it is "partial 16S ribosomal RNA". The record is from RNAcentral. Lineage: Bacteria; Pseudomonadati; Pseudomonadota; Gammaproteobacteria; Alteromonadales; Pseudoalteromonadaceae.
UCCUCCCGAGGGUUAGACUAUCUACUUCUGGAGCAACCCACUCCCAUGGUGUGACGGGCGGUGUGUACAAGGCCCGGGAACGUAUUCACCGCGUCAUUCUGAUACGCGAUUACUAGCGAUUCCGACUUCAUGGAGUCGAGUUGCAGACUCCAAUCCGGACUACGACGCACUUUAAGUGAUUCGCUUACUCUCGCGAGUUCGCAGCACUCUGUAUGCGCCAUUGUAGCACGUGUGUAGCCCUACACGUAAGGGCCAUGAUGACUUGACAUCGUCCCCACCUUCCUCCGGUUUAUCACCGGCAGUCUCCUUAGAGUUCUCAGCAUUACCUGCUAGCAACUAAGGAUAGGGGUUGCGCUCGUUGCGGGACUUAACCCAACAUCUCACAACACGAGCUGACGACAGCCAUGCAGCACCUGUAUCAGAGUUCCCGAAGGCACCAAACCAUCUCUGGUAAGUUCUCUGUAUGUCAAGUGUAGGUAAGGUUCUUCGCGUUGCAUCGAAUUAAACCACAUGCUCCACCGCUUGUGCGGGCCCCCGUCAAUUCAUUUGAGUUUUAACCUUGCGGCCGUACUCCCCAGGCGGUCUACUUAAUGCGUUAGCUUUGAAAAACAGAACCGAGGCUCCGAGCUUCUAGUAGACAUCGUUUACGGCGUGGACUACCGGGGUAUCUAAUCCCGUUUGCUCCCCACGCUUUCGUACAUGAGCGUCAGUGUUGACCCAGGUGGCUGCCUUCGCCAUCGGUAUUCCUUCAGAUCUCUACGCAUUUCACCGCUACACCUGAAAUUCUACCACCCUCUAUCACACUCUAGUUUGCCAGUUCGAAAUGCAGUUCCCAGGUUGAGCCCGGGGCUUUCACAUCUCGCUUAACAAACCGCCUGCGUACGCUUUACGCCCAGUAAUUCCGAUUAACGCUCGCACCCUCCGUAUUACCGCGGCUGCUGGCACGGAGUUAGCCGGGUGCUUCUUCUGUCAGUAACGUCACACAUGAUGGGUAUUAACC